GUCUGUGGCUUUGCUGCUCCAGGAUUAACAUCCUGUUCUGGGCUUCAACUUUCUUUUUUCCUCCUCCCCUUUUCUCCUUUGGCUUCUCUCUCCAUUCCCCAAGAUUUACUGUUCUAAAUAUAACUUCCAACAGGUGUGCAGCCAGGACAUGGAAACUGUGCCCAGCUGUCCCCCACACGUGGACACUCUCCAACUGGCCUGCUGAAAUUCUAGGCUCCAGCACCCUCAUCGGGUGAGGAUGGCCCUCCCUAGGUCCUGAAAGUGAGGAGAGCAGCUUCUCUUUCCUGAGGCCUGUGGAUAAGGAUGUAGCUCUCUCAGCUAUUGCUCCAGCAUCAUGCAUGCCACCAUGCUCCCUGCCAUGAUGAUAAUGGACCACACCUCUGAAACUAAAAACCACUCAGACGUGGCCAGAAUGACCCACUGGAGAGAGCAUUCACCUUGAAGAAUGGCAGGUGCUGGAGGAAGACACUGUCUGUGUAGUCUAAAGUCUACAGCCCCCACAGCCUAAACCACAGCCACCAACAGCUCUGCCAGGCAACCUCUCAUCUCCAAGGCACACAUGAGGCAGAGAUCUAGAGGCUCAGACCUUUCCAACAUGCAGCUCUUUGAACUGGCUACCAGCAAAGCCUUGAUGCUUCCCACCGUGGCCUCUACAAUGUAUCCUGCUUCUAUGACAACUAUUUCCACAUCGGUGCAUCCUACCACAUCUGAUUAAAAUAAAUCCUGAGGACACUUCAGAAUUACCAAACUAAAUAAGAAGCCCCAACCACAGGAAGAGGACACAUGAAAGCAGGGCAGUCGGCAGCCACUCGGACAGCUUAUGUCAGGUGCCAACAAUGAGUGGGACUCUCGGACAUCCUUACAAACAUUCAGGGCCGAUAACAACACCUCACUGCAGUUAUACUAGAGAGUGCUAAAUUAUACUAAGGAGUGCUAAACUGAGCCCAGUCAAUCACAGAAGCAUGAAUUUCUGUCUAAACCUUUAUGGCCUGGGAGCACACACGCUACAGAUGACCAAAGUGAGCACGAUGGUGUCACUGCACAAUGACAUUUCGUUGUAGGAUGUGUUCCUAUAAGAAAAGAUCACCAUGAGUGGUCCUGUAGCACCCAACUGCAGUGCAAAGUGUAAGGCAUGGGCAGCAUCAGGGACUGUGUUAGAAAUACAGAAUUCAGCAGCUAGGGGAUAGUCAGUCAGUAACAUGCUUGCAAUGCAAGCAGGAGAGCCUGAGGUCAAUCCCCAACAGCCACAGUUGUAAUCCCCACACUGGGGAGGUAGAGACAGGUGGAUCUCUAGAGCUCACAGUCCAAACAGCCUAAUCAGUGAGCCCCCAAGCCCUAGUGGCAGACCCUGUCUCAAAAUACAUGAUGGGGAGCUGAAGAGAUGGCCCAGCGGUUAAGACCACUUGUUACUCUGCCAAGGGACCUGUGUUUGUGUCCCAGCACCCACAAGGUGGCUCAUGAACAUCUGUAACUCAAGUUCCAAGGGAUCUAACACCCUCUUCUGGCAACCAUGGACACCAGGCACACAUAUAGUACAUAGACAUACAUGCCGGCAAAAUACCUGUCUUAGUUUCUAUUACUGCGACUAAACACCAUGACCAAAAAACAAGUUGGGGAAGACCACGUUUAUUUGGCUUACA
Molecule: non-coding RNA, 1640 nt
Organism: Cricetulus griseus (Chinese hamster)
Lineage: Eukaryota; Metazoa; Chordata; Mammalia; Rodentia; Cricetidae
Source: RefSeq, a predicted model, not a curated record